This 3626-nucleotide small RNA is filed under the name Pyricularia oryzae. Its description in RNAcentral is "Magnaporthe oryzae sRNA M_BR32_EuGene_00074621". Lineage: Eukaryota; Fungi; Ascomycota; Sordariomycetes; Magnaporthales; Pyriculariaceae. The record is from RNAcentral.
UUUUUAUUUGCACAAUUACAGGGCUAAUUUAACCUUUUUUUAAAUAGGAAAAAAUUUAAACAAAGUUUUUCGAAACGGUGGCCAAUAUAAAUACGAAUUUUGCCGAUAUAAAAUUGUUAAUUUCAGGGGUCGAUUCGCGUUUUAAUAUUUGUUUUAUAUAUUUUAAAAAAGCGAUAAAAAAUAUAAUCGUUAUUAUCCAAUCCGGCGCCGCGCAAUUUACGUUUUUGGUUAUAAAAACGGAACCAAAGGCAAAUUGGGAUAUUAAGGAACCAAUCGCGGUUUUUAUUUUCGACGACGAUAAAUUUAAUAUUCCAUUUGGAUCCCCGGUACCUGCCGAAAAACCUGCGAUUCCAAAAAACCAUACGACAGGAACCGGUAAUUUGCUUAUAUAGCCGCCCAUCCAAAAACUCGUUGGGGACCUUUUGGUGGAAUAUGGGAUUAAAUACCUAAAAACCUACCCAUUUUCCAUCGAGGAAAACAGGGGUUUAUUAUAUUUAUAUGGCCGAGGGGAAAGGAAUAAAAAUAGCAGUAAAAUACCCAACGAUUUUGGAUUUUUUCCGUCCGUAUAUUCCAAAAAUAUAGCACCAUCGCUUUUAUAUAAUAAUUGGGGUUAUAUAAAUAUUACGGAAACUGUAUUUUGCCCGAAAUUUAAUUAUAAUUAUAUGUGGAAAUUUGUUAAUAAUUAUAAAAAAAAUAUGCAAAAUAUAUAUCCCAUUAUUUUACCCCAAAAUUUGGACGCCCUAAUUAAAAAAUUUUUCGGAAACCUUUCCACCGUUUGCGUUACCAAAUCCGCCAAACCUGUACCAAUCGCAGGGUUUACCGCAAAAUACGAAAUUAUAGGUGAAAAACGAAAACGAAAAAAUAUAAACGACGGUUCGGGACCCAAAAUCGUGCAUUAAAAACGUUCCACGUUGUUUCGCAAUAUUCAAAUUGCUGUAAUUUUUUGUAUUUUUGCCCUGGGCGAAAUUUGUUUAUAUAAAAAACGUAUUUCCGAUAUCGUUCCAACGUAUGGCGAAAUGCAAAAUUAGGGUUUUUUCAAUUUUUAAUUUUACCUUUUUUAAAGUUUUUCGGCGUUUAGAAAUAAUAUAUUACCAUUCCCCGUCCAGGGGACGCCGUUUUCGGUGGUUUGGCACCCGAUAGGCGGCAGGCGAAUUUUUUUUUCUAAUUUUAUAUUAAAAUUUAUAAAAAAAAAUAUAAAUGUAAUUCCGGGUUUGCAAUAUUUAACCAAUAUUACCGAUAUUAUGGGCAAUUAAAUGGCGGGGACGUCGGUAUAAUAUAUAUACGCCAAUAUUUUGGCUGGUUUUUAUUACGGCCAAUUAAACAGGGUUAUAGAUAAUUAUUGGAAUAUCCAUUAUACUUAUAUUAAGGCCCAGCAUUUUUUUAGGGAAUAAAUCCUUUUUUUACCUUUUCCUCCAGAAAUUGGCUGGAAUUGGUCGUUAAUUUGUUUUUAUAAAGCCAUUUUUUUCGUUUUACUGCUGUUAAUAACCAAAUAUAAAAUAUUAAAAACACCGAAUAUUAUUUUAUAUAUUGGAUAUAUAUAUAAUUUAAAUGGUAUAUGGUUUUUUUUUUUUUUUUUUUGCUAAUAUUAACCAAAUUUGUAACAAUAUUAUUACCGAAUUAAAUUUACAAUAAUCGGGUAUUAGCAAAUACAAAUAACGCAUACCAACCCCUAAUUUGGGACAUAUAAUCGAAUAUGGGAUCGACGAGCGUGUCGCCUAUAAUUAUUAGGCGCAAAUAUGGUUACGGAAAACAUUUAAUAAGGCGUAUAUAUUAUUAUAUGGGCCCAAAUUUGAAAAAAAGAGACAUAUUUUAAUUAAAUUGGUGGAAGUUUUAUAUUCGAAUUUAAUAAAGAAUGAAAAUCUCUGGUGGUCAAAAUUUUAUGGCCGUAAUCCCCAAAUUUCGGCCGAUAAUAUCCUCGACGUUAGAUUGCGAACCAAAUAUUAGGGUGCCAGGAAUAUUAUUUGCCGGCCCAUUAUUAAAUUUAUAUUAAUGCGAAAUUAUUAAAUAUAGGAAGGGUUUAAUAUAACCGAUUUUUUAAAUAAAUUUUUCGAUCCCAAAAACGAAAUUGUUUUGGAAAUAGCAGGGAGGGGUAUUAAUGCGUUUGUUUAUAAUAUUAAAGCCUUUUACAAUUUUGCUGAAAGGCGGUAUAUUAUUAUUAAUAUUUUUGGUAUUAUUUAGGCGUAAAUUUUGGGGAUUUGUAUUUUUUCUUUUCCUUUUCCCACGUUGAAAUUUGUUUUUUAAUAUAUUUUAAUUAAUGGGGUAAUUUAAUUACCUUUACCGCGGUCCACAAAAACCAGCACCUUUUAUAUUUUAUUAACCCCGGUAAAUUUAAAUAUUUUUUCGAUAAAACGAUAUAAUUUUUGGAGGUUAUUUCGCAUCGAUUAAACGUUUUCGAAAUUAACGGGAAAAUCCUCGUUGGUUUAAGGGAUUUUUUUUUUCCCCAGGCUUUCCCGACCCGAAACGUUUCCGAUUAUUAACCCAAACCCGUCCCACAAUCCAAUGGCCCAAUCCGUUUUCCAUCCCUGUCGAUAAAUUUUGUGCACAAAAAUCCAAUCGGUCCUCCAUUGGGGAAUAUAUAUUUUGGCAGCAAUUUUUUAAAUUGUAAAGGGUAAAAAAAUUAUCCUUUAUUUAACAUUCGUAUUUAUUAAAAUCCUGAAACAUUUUUUUAAUUAUAUCGUUAAUGGGUUUGAAAAAAGAUUGGCCUUAUAUAUUUAUAUUUUUUUAUUAUUAAUAAUAAUUUAAAUUUCUAAUUAUUAUUACGAAUUUUUUUAGCAGAUUAAAUGGUUGGUUUUUUGUUUUUUUGUUUUCGCAUUAACAAUAUGGGCUUUUUUGGGAGAAUAUCCUCGUACGUAGCUUUAGUGACGGGAGGAUAUAUUUCAACGUCCGACACGUAUUAAAUAACCGGUCGAAAUUUCUUUAUAUUGGUAUUAUAUAUAAUCCAACGUCCUUUUUUAACGCCGUUUUUUAACGUUUUAAUUUGGGCGAUUUGGUAAGCGAACCAUAAAUACCUUUUACGACGCUGAUUUUUUAUCGAUGGGGUUUUAAACGUUUUUUCGUUUUUUUCCAUAUUUUUAUUAACGUUAAAAUGGUCGGCCGGGAAGGUUAUUUCCAUUUAUAUAAAUUUUCGCAUUGCCCAAUUUUCGGGUAGCGGUUUUUGUUUAAUUGUGCGGGGAAAUUUGCUCGUUUCGUAUUUUUUGGGAUUUUCAAAACCCGCUGCAAAAAAUUCAAAUAUAAAAUUAAUAAAUUCCAAAAAAAUAAAACCUCGAAAUACGAUAUCGUUAAUCGUUUAACUUUAACCCCGCCCGGGUUUUUUAAGAUGGCCAUUUAACGUAAAAAUAUAAAUUUAACGUUGAAAUAAAAAAAUAUAUUUAAAUCCCCCAACCGUGGAAAAAUAAUUAUAUUUAUAUUUUUUACAAAUUGGAGAACUUUUUUAAAACGUUUGGAAAAGUCGACCACGUUAUUUUUGGCCUUCGUGGCGGUGGUAAUUGGAACAUUUUUAUUAUUAAUAUUGGACGGUUUUUGCGUUUUUAAAGUUUUUUGGGAUUUAGCCGAAACCGGUUCGUUUCCAAUUACGAUUUUCGGUAUGGGACUAUUUUUGGUCGAGGCGUUAAAUACUUUUAUAAAAA